This 494-nucleotide ribosomal RNA is filed under the name uncultured bacterium. RNAcentral describes it as "partial 16S ribosomal RNA". It matches the Rfam family "Bacterial small subunit ribosomal RNA", at positions 28 to 507 of the family's 1533-position model. The record is from RNAcentral.
GACGAACGCUGGCGGCGUGCUUAACACAUGCAAGUCGAACGGUGAAGCGCCUUCCUUUUUGGUGGGUGUGGAUGAGUGGCGAACGGGUGAGUAACACGUGAGUAACCUGCCCCCUUCUUCUGGAUAACCGCAUGAAAGUGUGGCUAAUACGGGAUAUUCUGGGUCUGUCGCAUGAUGGGUCUGGGAAAGAUAUUGUUUCGGUGGGGGAUGGGCUCGCGGCCUAUCAGCUUGUUGGUGGGGUGAUGGCCUACCAAGGCGGUGACGGGUAGCCGGCCUGGGAGGGUGGACGGUCACACUGGGACUGAGACACGGCCCAGACUCCUACGGGAGGCAGCAGUGGAGAAUAUUGCACAAUGGGCGCAAGGCUGAUGCAGCGACGCCGCGUGAGGGAUGGAGGCCUUCGGGUUGUGAACCUCUUUCGCCAGUGAAGCAGGCCUGCCUCGUUUGUGGGUGGGUUGACGGUAGCUGGAUAAGAAGCGCCGGCUAACUACGUG